This 82-nucleotide transfer RNA is filed under the name Bacteroidetes bacterium UKL13-3. Its description in RNAcentral is "tRNA-Leu". It matches the Rfam family "tRNA". Rfam says of the family: Transfer RNA (tRNA) molecules are approximately 80 nucleotides in length. Their secondary structure includes four short double-helical elements and three loops (D, anti-codon, and T loops). RNAcentral also lists the same sequence under 1 other name. The record is from RNAcentral. Lineage: Bacteria; Pseudomonadati; Bacteroidota.
GCUGCGGUGGUGAAAUUGGUAGACAUGCCAUCUUGAGGGGGUGGUGCCGAAAGGUGUAUGAGUUCGAGUCUCAUCCGCAGCA